CGGUGACUAAAAUUGCAAUGUCGUGUGAAGUUUCUGAAAUCCUUCUAUUUCAAAAGACGUGCUCCAGAACAGUGCUCGAGAGCAACGACGUUGCAGUCGCCACGUGCCGUCAACUUUCCGCGCCUGGAACGUAAGUAGAGAGUUUUUCCGGUUGAAAAGUACUACUAAUUAUUGCAGACCAGCUCGCAAGCCCAACUCGAACCGACACGAGAAAAACGAAUGUUUUCAGUUUUCCAAUCUAUCGAAAUGUGGGCGAUGGGCUCAAAUUGCGUCUACGAAGAACGUGAAAUUGUUGAUUGAUAAUUAUGAGG
RNAcentral lists this small RNA (311 nucleotides) under Caenorhabditis elegans. RNAcentral describes it as "Unclassified non-coding RNA C31G12.17". Lineage: Eukaryota; Metazoa; Nematoda; Chromadorea; Rhabditida; Rhabditidae. The record is from RNAcentral.